ACCAUAUGCAAGUCAAAACAUACAUAUGUUGGAGCCUAAAUUAUACAAUAUUAAUGUGUUGCAUUGAUGUAUUGCUAAAAAUAGUUAUGUUAAAGAAUAAGCACAUAAGUUACAUGAUAAAGAUCACACUUACCAUCCUGGAUGAUUUUGAUUCAAUUCUGAUUCCUACAUCCAGUUUUUCUAGAGGGAUCUGGGUUCAGGCCUGGUCAUUAUCAAAAAGUAAUCCUAUGUAAGGAUGGGUCUAUAUAAGUCAAAGAUUGUCUAUAUUUAUUUUUUUUAUAUUAAAUGCCUGUAAUUCUGAAUUUUUAAGUAUUUUGCAG
Molecule: long non-coding RNA, 320 nt
Filed under: Androctonus crassicauda
Lineage: Eukaryota; Metazoa; Arthropoda; Arachnida; Scorpiones; Buthidae
Source: RNAcentral